GCGGACGGGUGAGUAACACGUGGAUAACCUACCUAUAAGACUGGGAUAACUUCGGGAAACCGGAGCUAAUACCGGAUAAUAUUUUGAACCGCAUGGUUCAAAAGUGAAAGACGGUCUUGCUGUCACUUAUAGAUGGAUCCGCGCUGCAUUAGCUAGUUGGUAAGGUAACGGCUUACCAAGGCAACGAUGCAUAGCCGACCUGAGAGGGUGAUCGGCCACACUGGAACUGAGACACGGUCCAGACUCCUACGGGAGGCAGCAGUAGGGAAUCUUCCGCAAUGGGCGAAAGCCUGACGGAGCAACGCCGCGUGAGUGAUGAAGGUCUUCGGAUCGUAAAACUCUGUUAUUAGGGAAGAACAUAUGUGUAAGUAACUGUGCACAUCUUGACGGUACCUAAUCAGAAAGCCACGGCUAACUACGUGCCAGCAGCCGCGGUAAUACGUAGGUGGCAAGCGUUAUCCGGAAUUAUUGGGCGUAAAGCGCGCGUAGGCGGUUUUUUAAGUCUGAUGUGAAAGCCCACGGCUCAACCGUGGAGGGUCAUUGGAAACUGGAAAACUUGAGUGCAGAAGAGGAAAGUGGAAUUCCAUGUGUAGCGGUGAAAUGCGCAGAGAUAUGGAGGAACACCAGUGGCGAAGGCGACUUUCUGGUCUGUAACUGACGCUGAUGUGCGAAAGCGUGGGGAUCAAACAGGAUUAGAUACCCUGGUAGUCCACGCCGUAAACGAUGAGUGCUAAGUGUUAGGGGGUUUCCGCCCCUUAGUGCUGCAGCUAACGCAUUAAGCACUCCGCCUGGGGAGUACGACCGCAAGGUUGAAACUCAAAGGAAUUGACGGGGACCCGCACAAGCGGUGGAGCAUGUGGUUUAAUUCGAAGCAACGCGAAGAACCUUACCAAAUCUUGACAUCCUUUGACAACUCUAGAGAUAGAGCUUUCCCCUUCGGG
RNAcentral lists this ribosomal RNA (941 nucleotides) under Staphylococcus aureus. RNAcentral describes it as "bacterial SSU rRNA". It matches the Rfam family "Bacterial small subunit ribosomal RNA", at positions 98 to 1025 of the family's 1533-position model. The record is from RNAcentral. Lineage: Bacteria; Bacillati; Bacillota; Bacilli; Caryophanales; Staphylococcaceae.